UACGGAGGGGGCGAGCGUUAUUCGGAAUCAUUGGGCGUAAAGGGCGCGUAGGCGGCCCCGUAAGUCUUGGGUGAAAGCCCUCGGCUCAACCGAGGAAUUGCCUUGGAUACUGCGGGGCUCGAGGCUGGAAGAGGGCAGUGGAAUUCCCGGUGUAGCGGUGAAAUGCGUAGAUAUCAGGAGGAACACCGGUGGCGAAGGCGGCGUCCUGGACCAACACUGACACUGAUGAGCGAAAGCCAGGGGAGCAAACGGG
RNAcentral lists this ribosomal RNA (253 nucleotides) under uncultured bacterium. RNAcentral's name for it is "partial 16S ribosomal RNA". It matches the Rfam family "Bacterial small subunit ribosomal RNA", at positions 524 to 776 of the family's 1533-position model. The record is from RNAcentral.